Molecule: ribosomal RNA, 253 nt
Filed under: uncultured bacterium
Lineage: Bacteria
Description: partial 16S ribosomal RNA
Rfam family: Bacterial small subunit ribosomal RNA
Source: RNAcentral
CACGGGGGGAGCAAGCGUUGUUCGGAAUCACUGGGCGUAAAGGGCGUGUAGGCGGUCAAGUAAGUGGAAUGUGAAACGCCUCGGCUUACCCGAGGACCUGCAUCCCAAACUGCUUGGCUUGAGUAUGGGAGAGGAUGAGGGAAUUCCUGGUGUAGCGGUGAAAUGCGUAGAUAUCAGGAGGAACACCGGUGGCGAAAGCGCUCAUCUGGCCCAAUACUGACGCUGAGGCGCGAAAGCUAGGGGAGCAAACGGG